UUGAUGAAUACAUAGUCAAACGAAGCGAACCGAGGGAACUGAAACAUCUCAGUACCUCGAGGAAAAGAAAUCAACCGAGAUUCCCCUAGUAGCGGCGAGCGAACGGGGAGCAGCCCAGAGUCUUAAUCAGCAUUAGCAUCAGGAGAACGGUCUGGAAAGGCCGGCAGUAAAGGGUGAUAGCCCCGUAUCCGAAGGUGUUAGUGUUGUGAACUCGACGAGUAGGGCGGGACACGUGUUAUCCUGUCUGAAUAUGGGGGGACCAUCCUCCAAGGCUAAAUACUCCUGAUUGACCGAUAGUGAACCAGUACCGUGAGGGAAAGGCGAAAAGAACCCCGGCGAGGGGAGUGAAAUAGAACCUGAAACCGUGUACGUACAAGCAGUGGGAGCACCCUUGUGGUGUGACUGCGUACCUUUUGUAUAAUGGGUCAGCGACUUAUAUUCUGUAGCAAGGUUAACCGUAUAGGGGAGCCGUAGGGAAACCGAGUCUUAACUG
RNAcentral lists this ribosomal RNA (493 nucleotides) under Salmonella enterica subsp. enterica serovar Kedougou. RNAcentral describes it as "partial 23S ribosomal RNA". It matches the Rfam family "Bacterial large subunit ribosomal RNA", at positions 155 to 690 of the family's 2925-position model. Lineage: Bacteria; Pseudomonadati; Pseudomonadota; Gammaproteobacteria; Enterobacterales; Enterobacteriaceae. The record is from RNAcentral.